CUCGUAGGUGGCCAACUAAGUCGGACGUGAAAUCCCUCGGCUUAACCGGGGAACUGCGUCCGAUACUGGUUGGCUUGAGUUUGGGAGAGGGAUGCGGAAUUCCAGGUGUAGCGGUGAAAUGCGUAGAUAUCUGGAGGAACACCGGUGGCGAAGGCGGCAUCCUGGACCAAUACUGACGCUGAGGAGCGAAAGCCAGGGGAGGCAAACG
RNAcentral lists this ribosomal RNA (208 nucleotides) under uncultured bacterium. RNAcentral describes it as "partial 16S ribosomal RNA". It matches the Rfam family "Bacterial small subunit ribosomal RNA", at positions 568 to 775 of the family's 1533-position model. The record is from RNAcentral.